This 57-nucleotide transfer RNA is filed under the name Neoachiropsetta milfordi. Its description in RNAcentral is "tRNA-Cys". The record is from RNAcentral. Lineage: Eukaryota; Metazoa; Chordata; Actinopteri; Pleuronectiformes; Rhombosoleidae.
AGACUAGGGACCCCGAUUGCAAAUCUGAGGAAGCAGGUUAAUCGCCUGCCAGGGCUU